Long non-coding RNA from Anastrepha ludens (Mexican fruit fly), 223 nucleotides. RefSeq lists it as uncharacterized. The record is from RefSeq and is a predicted model, not a curated record. Lineage: Eukaryota; Metazoa; Arthropoda; Insecta; Diptera; Tephritidae. The transcript is spliced from 3 exons.
CGGAAAAUAUGUUACUUUUGUGUAUCGUUUUACGUGUCGUGACCAGUAAUGGAUGAACAGAAGGACUGCAAUUAUUAUGAUCAUCCUACCGCGAGCUAUGAUGUACACUACAAAACGAAUUUUUUUCGAGAUGCCUCCGGAAAUUCACUGUCUCUCGCCUAAUUUUCAAUAUUUUGCAAUAAAAGUUUCUCACAAAAAAUGACAUUUUUUGGCAAGGACUUUU